UUACAAAGUCGUUGAAAUGGUAGUAAAGUGAACCUCAUACCUUUCACCGAGACCCACUGCUUGUUAACAUUUUGCAAUAUUUGUGCUUGUGAGUGGGUGCUCUCACUUGCUGUUUACAUAUAUGUAUAUCUGUAAAUACAUGUGUACUUACAUGUAUAUUUAUAUAUGUAGUUAUAUACAUGCUUUUGCAUUUUAGUAGAAUCAUUUGAAUGUAAGCUGCAGGCAUUUCCUCAAUAUUUUAGGAAGAUUUUAAACUACUGCUUUGAUUUUUGCUUUUUGAGAUUAUCAGGCUAUUUGUGACUUAUAUUUGGACAUUUUAUACAAAUAAUUUGACAGCUAUCCUCUCUCUGUCUCUUACAUGUUCUCCUGGUGCCUCUGACCUGUGGUUGCCGAAAGCAGGAAGUUCUACUACAUCACCCUGCUACGAGACCCCGUGUCCCGCUACCUGAGCGAGUGGCGGCAUGUGCAGAGGGGUGCCACGUGGAAGACGUCGUUGCACAUGUGUGAUGGGCGCACGCCCACGCCUGAGGAGCUGCCGCCCUGCUACGAGGGCACGGACUGGUCGGGCUGCACGCUACAG
RNAcentral lists this small RNA (580 nucleotides) under Pan troglodytes (chimpanzee). Its description in RNAcentral is "processed transcript". Lineage: Eukaryota; Metazoa; Chordata; Mammalia; Primates; Hominidae. The record is from RNAcentral.